AUGUUAGUAGGAGUAUUGUACGUUCCUCAAUUUUUUUCUUCUCAUUUUUUAAAUUGCAGUUCUUCAGAACAAAAGGAAAAAUGGCGUUCUUACCUUCAAAGGUACAUCAUGCUAGCCAAAGAGAAGGAGCAGCCAAAAAGCAUUCUCCUCAAAAUCUUCACUGAGAACAUCAAGAACUGUGCCUGUGUGAGUAUUUUUAAGACCAACAAUUAAAUUCUGAGUUCCUAAUUCUGACUGAAUGAAAAAGAUGGAGAUAGAGGUGGAGACACAGAGAGGGAGGAAGCAGUGAGUUGGGGAGAGAAGAAAGAGAGAGCAAAAGGUAGGAAGAGAGAGAGAAUAUUUAGAAAAGUACCAUGAGGAAAAAUGUAUUUUCCCCCUCUCCAUGUACUGCUUUAUAGACCUAAAAACUGCGUCCUAGGUAAUAUGAAGCAAGAGGAAUACAUACUACAGUGCUUAAGCAAGGAAAGAGUAUCGGAUGUUAAGUGUCUAUAACAUUUCUCUGGAUCCUUCUAAUUGCUUAUAGUGGCUUGUAAUACAGUGAUUUAGAAUCAACCAUUUUUUCCCCAGUGGCCACCACUUACAUACAGAAUGGUCUGGAUUGUCUCCACAGUCC
This 613-nucleotide long non-coding RNA is filed under the name Canis lupus familiaris (dog). Its description in RNAcentral is "lncRNA (ENSCAFG00845017795.1)". Lineage: Eukaryota; Metazoa; Chordata; Mammalia; Carnivora; Canidae. The record is from RNAcentral.